Molecule: ribosomal RNA, 37 nt
Filed under: Hyparrhenia hirta
Lineage: Eukaryota; Viridiplantae; Streptophyta; Magnoliopsida; Poales; Poaceae
Description: partial 26S ribosomal RNA
Source: RNAcentral
UUGAACGGUGCGUACAACGCUCCGACCGCGACCCCAG